This 87-nucleotide ribosomal RNA is filed under the name Melanoides tuberculata. RNAcentral describes it as "partial 5.8S ribosomal RNA". It matches the Rfam family "5.8S ribosomal RNA", at positions 71 to 154 of the family's 154-position model. Rfam says of the family: 5.8S ribosomal RNA (5.8S rRNA) is a component of the large subunit of the eukaryotic ribosome. It is transcribed by RNA polymerase I as part of the 45S precursor that also contains 18S and 28S rRNA. Functionally, it is thought that 5.8S rRNA may be involved in ribosome translocation. Lineage: Eukaryota; Metazoa; Mollusca; Gastropoda; Thiaridae. The record is from RNAcentral.
AUUGCAGGACACAUUGAACAUCGACAUUUUGAACGCAUAUUGCGGCCAAGGGGCAAUCUCUUGGCCACGCCCGUCUGAGGGUCGGCA